UCCCCCACGAUCUCCUCUUUGAGCUCCUUCUUCAGCGUGACCCUUCAGGUAUCAGCCGGGAUAGCCUACCCACAAGUGACCCAUGCAUUUCGGUAAGUACAACAAUGUCGUAACACAAGGCGAGUCGAAGCAGUUCAUGCUGUUCUAGUUUCCAGUCAGUCACACCACGUAUAUUAAUUGGACUAUAUGAAGCGGUUCAUACCUCCGGUCGGCUUCCUA
This 219-nucleotide long non-coding RNA is filed under the name Volvox carteri. RNAcentral's name for it is "long non-coding RNA (VCAR_LNC002164)". The record is from RNAcentral. Lineage: Eukaryota; Viridiplantae; Chlorophyta; Chlorophyceae; Chlamydomonadales; Volvocaceae.